This 433-nucleotide ribosomal RNA is filed under the name uncultured bacterium. RNAcentral describes it as "partial 16S ribosomal RNA". It matches the Rfam family "Bacterial small subunit ribosomal RNA", at positions 29 to 507 of the family's 1533-position model. The record is from RNAcentral.
AACGAACGCUGGCGGCAUGCCUAACACAUGCAAGUCGAACGAGACCUUCGGGUCUAGUGGCGCACGGGUGCGUAACGCGUGGGAACCUGCCCUUAGGUUCGGAAUAACUCCCCGAAAGGGGUGCUAAUACCGGAUAAUGUCUUCGGACCAAAGAUUUAUCGCCUUUGGAUGGGCCCGCGUUGGAUUAGCUAGUUGGUAGGGUAAAAGCCUGCCAAGGCGACGAUCCAUAGCUGGUCUGAGAGGAUGAUCAGCCACACUGGGACUGAGACACGGCCCAGACUCCUACGGGAGGCAGCAGUGGGGAAUGUUGGACAAUGGGCGAAAGCCUGAUCCAGCAAUGCCGCGUGAGUGAUGAAGGCCUUAGGGUUGUAAAGCUCUUUUACCCGGGAUGAUAAUGACAGUACCGGGAGAAUAAGCGCCGGCUAACUCCGUG